RNAcentral lists this long non-coding RNA (423 nucleotides) under Eucalyptus grandis. Its description in RNAcentral is "long non-coding RNA (EGRA_LNC006196)". The record is from RNAcentral. Lineage: Eukaryota; Viridiplantae; Streptophyta; Magnoliopsida; Myrtales; Myrtaceae.
CCCUCAAUCACAUUACUCUUAUCCAAUUACAUUUUAACCCUGUUACCAAGUGUAAACAACCAAAAAAUGUGUACUACAGUUACUGAAUAGAAACAUCUGUGUCAUGUUUGUGGGUCCUAUAUACUCAACUCAUAACAAAUCCCCGUCUUAAAAAAAUGCAGCUUUACCGUUCUCCUUUAAUUGAACCAGAAAUAGAAGAAGACAAUGAAUACACAACAAAGAAGAAAGAUGAGAGUAAGAUAUUUCAUCUGAACAAUGAUAGGAUGUUUGAUGCUCUACAAAAACGUUGGAGAAAAACGACGAACGACUAAUGACGAUGGAACCUUGCCAAUCAAUUGAACCUACUGGUAAAGAGAACAGUGCACAUCCUAGAAAUAAGUUGCGACCUUUCAGCAGAUGAAACCUUAUCAUGCUUCUCAACUC